CUACGGGUGGCACCAGUGAGGAAUAUUGCACAAUGGGGGGAACCCUGAUGCAGCAACGCCGCGUGGAGGAUGACACUUUUCGGAGCGUAAACUCCUUUUAUAUAGGAAGAAGAUGACGGUACUAUAUGAAUAAGCGCCGGCUAACUCCGUGCCAGCAACCGCGGUAAUACGGAGGGCGCAAGCGUUACUCGGAAUCACUGGGCGUAAAGAGCGUGUAGGCGGAUUAAAAAGUCAGAAGUGAAAUCCUAUAGCUUAACUAUAGAACUGCUUCUGAAACUCUUAAUCUAGAAUAUGGGAGAGGUAGAUGGAAUUUCUGGUGUAGGGGUAAAAUCCGUAGAGAUCAGAAGGAAUACCGAUUGCGAAGGCGAUCUACUAGAACAUUACUGACGCUCAGAUGCGAAAGCGUGGGGAGCAAACAGGAUUAGAUACCCCGGUAGUC
RNAcentral lists this ribosomal RNA (439 nucleotides) under uncultured bacterium. RNAcentral's name for it is "partial 16S ribosomal RNA". It matches the Rfam family "Bacterial small subunit ribosomal RNA", at positions 339 to 795 of the family's 1533-position model. The record is from RNAcentral.